UACCAUUUGGAACAGAUGCUAAUACCGAUAAAAGCUACUUUCGCAUGAAAGAAGUUUUAAAAGGCGGCGUAAAGCUGUCGCUAAAGGAUGGACCUGCGAUGCAUUAGCUAGUUGGUAAGGGUAACGGGCUUACCAAGGCGAUGAUGCAUAGCCCGAGUUGAGAGACUGAUCGGGCCACAUUGGGACUGAGACACGGGCCCAAACUCCUACGGGAGGCAGCAGUAGGGGAAUCUUCCACAAUGGACGAAAGUCUGAUGGAGCAAACGCCGCGUGAGUGAAGAAGGUUUUCGGAUCGUAAAAAGCUCUGUUGUUGGUGAAGAAGGAUAGAGGUAGUAACUGGCCCUUUAUUUGACGGUAAUCAACCCAGAAAGUCACGGGCUAACUACGUGCCCAGCAGCCGCGGUAAAU
RNAcentral lists this ribosomal RNA (408 nucleotides) under uncultured Lactobacillus sp. RNAcentral's name for it is "bacterial SSU rRNA". It matches the Rfam family "Bacterial small subunit ribosomal RNA", at positions 144 to 525 of the family's 1533-position model. The record is from RNAcentral. Lineage: Bacteria; Bacillati; Bacillota; Bacilli; Lactobacillales; Lactobacillaceae.